Molecule: ribosomal RNA, 254 nt
Filed under: uncultured bacterium
Lineage: Bacteria
Description: partial 16S ribosomal RNA
Rfam family: Bacterial small subunit ribosomal RNA
Source: RNAcentral
UACGGGGGGAGCAAGCGUUGUUCGGAUUUACUGGGCGUAAAGGGCGCGUAGGCGGCCACCGCAAGUCGACUGUGAAAUCUCCGGGCUUAACCCGGAAAGGUCAGCCGAUACUGCGGGGCUAGAGUGCAGAAGGGGCAGCUGGAAUUCUCGGUGUAGCGGUGAAAUGCGUAGAUAUCGAGAGGAACACCUGCGGCGAAGGCGGGUUGCUGGGCUGACACUGACGCUGAGGCGCGAAAGCUAGGGGAGCGAACGGG